UACGUAGGGACCGAGCGUUGUCCGGAUUCAUUGGGCGUAAAGAGCUCGUAGGCGGCCACUCAAGUCGAAUGUGAAACCUCGAGGCUUAACCUCGAGCCUGCAUUCGAUACUGGGCGGCUAGAGUCUGGUAGGGGGAUCUGGAAUUCCUGGUGUAGCGGUGGAAUGCGCAGAUAUCUGGAGGAACACCGGUGGCGAAGGCGGCAUCCUGGGCCGGUAUUGACACUGAGGAGCGAAAGCCAGGGGAGCAAACGGG
RNAcentral lists this ribosomal RNA (253 nucleotides) under uncultured bacterium. Its description in RNAcentral is "partial 16S ribosomal RNA". It matches the Rfam family "Bacterial small subunit ribosomal RNA", at positions 524 to 776 of the family's 1533-position model. The record is from RNAcentral.